UGGUGCCGAUGCGCUUAGGGGGAACACCCGUACCCAUCCCGAACACGAUGGUUAAGACCUAAGCGGCCGAUGGUACUAUGCUGGAGACGGCAUGGGAGAGCAGGUGGGUGCCAGAUU
Molecule: ribosomal RNA, 117 nt
Filed under: Enterocloster bolteae
Lineage: Bacteria; Bacillati; Bacillota; Clostridia; Lachnospirales; Lachnospiraceae
Also listed under: 2 other names
Source: RNAcentral